Molecule: long non-coding RNA, 786 nt
Organism: Ailuropoda melanoleuca (giant panda)
Lineage: Eukaryota; Metazoa; Chordata; Mammalia; Carnivora; Ursidae
Exons: 4
Source: RefSeq, a predicted model, not a curated record
CUUCCUCCCAACUUUCCUCCCUUUGGUUGGGAGUGUGCAGCCACCAUCCCUUUCCGCCGCUGACCUUCCUCCAGACCUCACAGCGCGAGAGCAUUGCCUUUGGAUAAAGGAAGCUGACUGGCCUAGAGAAAUGUAAGAUGUUAUACUACCUUUGGUGUUAGACGACUGAAUAAUAUGAAGAUUGAAGCCCAGCCAUCUUGUAUCAAGGUGCCCCACUCUGAUGCCCAAUAAAAUGCAUCAUGUUACAGAGAGGAUUUGCUGAUCUAAAUUGUUUAAUGAUGCUAAAAUUGGAUACUUUCAAGUAAAUCAGGAAGAAAAUGUACCUGAGUGAGAGAACAGAGGUGCCAGGCUACACCUUGCAUAUCGAUGUCACCAUAGUUGACACAGCGUGUCCUGCUAUGCUAGAAAAAAUGAAGAGCUCACCAUCAGACAAGAAAACUUGGCAGAGCAGAGAUGAAAGCAGAGGUUCUGGUUGCAUCCAGUUCGAAUGAUAUCAUUAUAUCUGGGAAUAAAUACUAUGAUUUUUGGUCUCUGACCCCCAGGGGAAUAACCAUAACCCAUAAGCAUUUUCCAUUAUUUUGCAUUGUUAAGAGGGACUUUACAAAUGUUGACAUUGAAGAUCCAUAAUUCAUAUAUAUUUCUCUCCUGAUUCAUUUUUUUUAUUGUUCCUAUUUCUCCCAUGGAUCAUGUAGGUAACACUAAGACUAGUGCAUAAUUGCCUGUUUUGUUCUGUUUGCUAAUUACUUCACAAACAUUACUCUUAGAGGGCAUGGACUGUAUGUUAUC